UUAUUAGAUCAAAACCAAACGGCUUCGGUCGUCCUACUGGUGAUUCUGAAUAACUUUGGGCUGAUCGCACGGCCUCGCGCCGGCGACGUAUCCUUCUAAGGUGUGCCCUAUCAACUGUCGACUGUGGCAUAGACGCCCACAGUGGUUUUGACGGGUAACGGGGGAUCAGGGUUCGAUUCCGGAGAGGGAGCCUGAGAGACGGCUACCACUUCUAAGGAAGGCAGCAGGCACGCAAAUUACCCACUGGCCGAAGGCCGAGGUAGUGACGAAAAAUAACGAUACCGGACUCAUCCGAGGCCCGGUAAUCGGAAUGAGUACACUUUAAAUCCUUUAACGAGGAACAAUUGGAGGGCAAGUCUGGUGCCAGCAGCCGCGGUAAUUCCAGCUCCAAUAGCGUAUGUUAAAGUUGUUGCGGUUAAAAAGCUCGUAGUUGGAUCUCGGCGGUCAGGGAACGGUCCGGUUUCUGCCGCGACUGCUCCAUUUGGCCGUGAUUUUGGCGGAGGUGUCGAGGUGCCCCUAAACAGGUGUCUCGGCGCGCCGUCGGGUUUACUUUGAAAAAAUUAGAGUGCUCCAAGC
RNAcentral lists this ribosomal RNA (576 nucleotides) under uncultured eukaryote. RNAcentral's name for it is "bacterial SSU rRNA". It matches the Rfam family "Eukaryotic small subunit ribosomal RNA", at positions 203 to 781 of the family's 1831-position model. The record is from RNAcentral.